GUGGGGAAUAUUGGACAAUGGGCGCAAGCCUGAUCCAGCCAUGCCGCGUGAGUGAUGAAGGCCUUAGGGUUGUAAAGCUCUUUCAGUGGGGACGAUAAUGACGGUACCCACAGAAGAAGCCCCGGCUAACUUCGUGCCAGCAGCCGCGGUAAUACGAAGGGGGCUAGCGUUGUUCGGAUUUACUGGGCGUAAAGCGCACGUAGGCGGAUCGUUAAGUCGGGGGUGAAAUCCUGGAGCUCAACUCCAGAACUGCCUUCGAUACUGGCGAUCUUGAGUCCGGAAGAGGUGAGUGGAACUCCUAGUGUAGAGGUGGAAUUCGUAGAUAUUAGGAAGAACACCAGUGGCGAAGGCGGCUCACUGGUCCGGCACUGACGCUGAGGUGCGAAAGCGUGGGGAGCAAACAGGAUUAGAUACCCGAGUAGUCC
This 425-nucleotide ribosomal RNA is filed under the name uncultured bacterium. RNAcentral describes it as "partial 16S ribosomal RNA". It matches the Rfam family "Bacterial small subunit ribosomal RNA", at positions 354 to 796 of the family's 1533-position model. The record is from RNAcentral.